AAAUGACGGUACCUGACUAAGAAGGAGCGGCCAACUAUGUGCCAGCAGCCGCGGUGAUACAUAGGCUUCAAGCGUUGUCCGGAUUUAUUGGGCGUAAAGAGUUCGUAGGCGGUCGAGUAAGUCGGGUGUGAAAAUUCUGGGCUCAACCCAGAGACGCCACCCGAUACUGCUUAACUUGAGUUCGAUAGGGGAGUGGGGAAUUCCUAGUGUAGCGGUGAAAUGCGCAGAUAUUAGGAGGAACACCGGUGGCGAAGGCGCCACUCUGGAUCGACACUGACGCUGAGGAACGAAAGCAUGGGUAGCAAACAGGAUUAGAUACCCUGGUAGUCCAUGCGGUAAACGGUGGGCACUAGGUGUGGGUUUCUAUUAACGAAAUCCGCGCCGUCGCUAACGCAUUAAGUGCCCCGCCUGGGGAGUACGGUCGCAAGAAUGAAACUCA
RNAcentral lists this ribosomal RNA (439 nucleotides) under uncultured microorganism. RNAcentral describes it as "bacterial SSU rRNA". It matches the Rfam family "Bacterial small subunit ribosomal RNA", at positions 467 to 903 of the family's 1533-position model. The record is from RNAcentral.